This 503-nucleotide ribosomal RNA is filed under the name uncultured bacterium. RNAcentral describes it as "bacterial SSU rRNA". It matches the Rfam family "Bacterial small subunit ribosomal RNA", at positions 355 to 870 of the family's 1533-position model. The record is from RNAcentral.
UGGGGAAUCUUGCGCAAUGGGCGAAAGCCUGACGCAGCAACGCCGCGUGAGGGAUGACGGCCUUCGGUUGUAAACCUCUUUCAGCAGGGACGAAGCGCAAGUGACGGUACCUGCAGAAGAAGCACCGGCCAACUACGUGCCAGCAGCCGCGGUAAUACGUAGGGUGCGAGCGUUGUCCGGAAUUAUUGGGCGUAAAGCGCGUGUAGGCGGCCGUUUAAGUCCGAUGUGAAAGCCCUGGGCUUAACCCAGGAAGUGCAUUGGAAACUGGACGGCUUGAGUACGGGAGAGGGAGGUGGAAUUCCGAGUGUAGGGGUGAAAUCCGUAGAUAUCCGGAGGAACACCAGUGGCGAAAGCGGCCUUCUGGACUGCAUCUGACGCUCAGACGCGAAAGCUAGGGGAGCAAACGGGAUUAGAGACCCCGGUAGUCCUAGCUGUAAACGAUGUGAACUUGGCGCUGGUUGGGUAAACCCGAUCAGUGCCGGAGCAAACGCGAUAAGUUCACC